RNAcentral lists this non-coding RNA (22 nucleotides) under Arabidopsis thaliana (thale cress). The record is from RNAcentral. Lineage: Eukaryota; Viridiplantae; Streptophyta; Magnoliopsida; Brassicales; Brassicaceae.
GGCGAUGGCCUUAUUAUGAGUU